UACGGAGGGUGCGAGCGUUGUCCGGAAUCACUGGGCGUAAAGGGCGCGUAGGCGGCGCGACAAGUCAGGCGUGAAAGCCCCGGGCUCAACCCGGGAAUUGCGCUUGAUACUGUCGUGCUUGAGGCCGGGAGAGGAUGGCGGAAUUCCCAGUGUAGAGGUGAAAUUCGUAGAUAUUGGGAAGAACACCGGUGGCGAAGGCGGCCAUCUGGACCGGUUCUGACGCUGAGGCGCGAAAGCGUGGGGAGCAAACAGG
RNAcentral lists this ribosomal RNA (253 nucleotides) under uncultured bacterium. Its description in RNAcentral is "partial 16S ribosomal RNA". It matches the Rfam family "Bacterial small subunit ribosomal RNA", at positions 524 to 776 of the family's 1533-position model. The record is from RNAcentral.